Pseudomonas moraviensis is the source of this 53-nucleotide non-coding RNA. NCBI's taxonomy places the organism in Bacteria, Pseudomonadati, Pseudomonadota, Gammaproteobacteria, Pseudomonadales, Pseudomonadaceae. The record is from Rfam.
CUUUCGAGUAGAAGCGGUCAGUGCCAGCAAUGGCACCGGGCAUUGCUCUUGCG